GUGAGGAAUAUUGGUCAAUGGGCGCAAGCCUGAACCAGCCAUGCCGCGUGCAGGAAGACGGUCCUAUGGAUUGUAAACUGCUUUUAUACAGGAAGAAACAACUCUACGUGUAGAGUCUUGACGGUACUGUAGGAAUAAGGAUCGGCUAACUCCGUGCCAGCAGCCGCGGUAAUACGGAGGAUCCAAGCGUUAUCCGGAAUCAUUGGGUUUAAAGGGUCCGUAGGCGGUCUUAUAAGUCAGUGGUGAGAGCCCAUCGCUCAACGAUGGAACUGCCAUUGAUACUGUAAGACUUGAAUUUUUGUGAAGUAACUAGAAUAUGUAGUGUAGCGGUGAAAUGCUUAAAUAUUACAUGGAAUACCAAUUGCGAAGGCAGGUUACUAACAAACGAUUGACGCUGAUGGACGAAAGCGUGGGGAGCGAACAGG
RNAcentral lists this ribosomal RNA (425 nucleotides) under uncultured Bacteroidota bacterium. Its description in RNAcentral is "bacterial SSU rRNA". It matches the Rfam family "Bacterial small subunit ribosomal RNA", at positions 354 to 776 of the family's 1533-position model. Lineage: Bacteria; Pseudomonadati; Bacteroidota. The record is from RNAcentral.